UUCCAAAUUCGAAUAAUUCCCUUGAUUCCGGGUAUCAUCGUAAUCAUAGGUGAUUUUUUCCUUAACUGAUUUCUAUCAGUUAGCGUAUAAGAUCUAAUUACGAUGACUCAAUAUUAAUGGAGUCGUUUCUGACGCAGGGAUUCUUUAAUGGGAUUAUAUCGAUUCUUAUUUGAAUCUUGAUUUUCUCCGAAAUUUUUGCAUUGGUGAUUCUGUCAAUCAUAAAUCGGGCAUAGCAAGAUAUGCGGAAAGAGAUAUGCAGAGAUAUUCAAUGGAGGAUAUUUCGUUUUGAUGAAGAACAGUUGGACGUAAUGGAGGACACGUAUAGUUGGGCUUAAUGUAAAUGGGCCACUAA
RNAcentral lists this long non-coding RNA (352 nucleotides) under Capsella grandiflora. RNAcentral's name for it is "long non-coding RNA (CGRA_LNC000045)". Lineage: Eukaryota; Viridiplantae; Streptophyta; Magnoliopsida; Brassicales; Brassicaceae. The record is from RNAcentral.